RNAcentral lists this ribosomal RNA (582 nucleotides) under uncultured bacterium. RNAcentral's name for it is "partial 16S ribosomal RNA". It matches the Rfam family "Bacterial small subunit ribosomal RNA", at positions 355 to 1375 of the family's 1533-position model. The record is from RNAcentral.
UGGGGAAUUUUGGACAAUGGGCGAAAGCCUGAUCCAGCAAUGCCGCGUGUGUGAAGAAGGCCUUCGGGUUGUAAAGCACUUUUGUCCGGAAAGAAAUCCUUGGCUCUAAUACAGUCGGGGGAUGACGGUACCGGAAGAAUAAGCACCGGCUAACUACGUGCCAGCAGCCGCGGUAAUACGUAGGGUGCAAGCGUUAAUCGGAAUUACUGGGCGUAAAGCGUGCGCAGGCGGUUUGCUAAGACCGAUGUGAAAUCCCCGGGCUCAACCUGGGAACUGCAUUGGUGACUGGCAGGCUAGAGUAUGGCAGAGGGGGGUAGAAUUCCACGUGUAGCAGUGAAAUGCGUAGAGAUGUGGAGGAAUACCGAUGGCGAAGGCAGCCCCCUGGGCCAAUACUGACGCUCAUGCACGAAAGCGUGGGGAGCAAACAGGAUUAGAUACCCUGGUAGUCCACGCCCUAAACGAUGUCAACUAGUUGUUGGGGAUUCAUUUCCUUAGUAACGUAGCUAACGCGUGAAGUUGACCGCCUGGGGAGUACGGUCGCAAGAAUAACUCAAUGAAUUGACGGGGUCAUAGCUGUUUCCU